AUGAAGUGUGACUUCCCGCACACCCGGGAGCCUGAGCCAGCCUGGGCGCAGCUUAUCUCCUUCCUCAGCCUGAUGUUUGUUUUAGGAAAAAUCAAAGCACGGUCCCCUUCUGCUCUCUUCAAACAGAGCAGGAGUGAGCUGGCUGCUGCUGGGGCAGGGGGCCUGCUUUGGGGUGCAGAGGGGUCAGCCUGGAGCUCCCCUCUUCUCUGUCCCCCGCUGCUUGCCCGUGUGCCCCUUCCCUGCGCUGAUGGCAUCAGAUUGCGUCAGAGGCCCCAGGCUCCGGCCAGCCACGCAUCCACCAGUCUCUCUGCAUCCAGCUCUGGGAGACGAGGCUGCAUGGAGUUCACCCACGUCUGAGGACCUCCUGGUUUCCAGAGCCUUGUCUGUGAGAUGUCAAAGAGGUGAAAGUAAUAGGCUCGGAUCACAUGGUCUUCCUAAGUGGCACUAGCGGAAAAGAAUUCACCUGCAAUGCAAGA
Long non-coding RNA from Capra hircus (goat), 476 nucleotides. RefSeq lists it as uncharacterized. The record is from RefSeq and is a predicted model, not a curated record. The transcript is spliced from 3 exons. NCBI's taxonomy places the organism in Eukaryota, Metazoa, Chordata, Mammalia, Artiodactyla, Bovidae.